UAGGGAAUCUUCCGCAAUGGACGCAAGUCUGACGGAGCAACGCCGCGUGAGUGAAGAAGGAUUUCGGUUCGUAAAACUCUGUUGUUAGAGAAGAACAGCGCAUAGAGUAACUGUUAUGCGUGUGUCGGUAUCUAACCAGAAAGCCACGGCUAACUACGUGCCAGCAGCCGCGGUAAUACGUAGGUGGCAAGCGUUGUCCGGAUUUAUUGGGCGUAAAGCGAGCGCAGGCGGUCAAUUAAGUCUGAUGUGAAAGCCCCCGGCUCAACCGGGGAGGGUCAUUGGAAACUGGUUGACUUGAGUGCAGAAGAGGAGAGUGGAAUUCCAUGUGUAGCGGUGAAAUGCGUAGAUAUAUGGAGGAACACCAGUGGCGAAGGCGACUCUCUGGUCUGUAACUGACGCUGAGGCUCGAAAGCGUGGGUAGCAAACAGG
Molecule: ribosomal RNA, 429 nt
Filed under: Bacteroidota bacterium
Lineage: Bacteria; Pseudomonadati; Bacteroidota
Description: Bacteroidetes bacterium partial 16S ribosomal RNA
Rfam family: Bacterial small subunit ribosomal RNA
Source: RNAcentral